UACGAAGGGGGCGAGCGUUGUUCGGAUUUACUGGGCGUAAAGGGCGCGCAGGCGGCUAUCCAAGUCAGGCGUGAAAGCCCCGGGCUUAACCUGGGAGGUGCGUCUGGGACUGGGUGGCUAGAGUUCGGGAGAGGAGAGUGGAAUUCCCAGUGUAGAGGUGAAAUUCGUAGAUAUUGGGAAGAACACCGGUGGCGAAGGCGGCUCUCUGGUCCAUUACUGACGCUGAGGUGCGAAAGCGUGGGGAGCAAACAGG
This 253-nucleotide ribosomal RNA is filed under the name uncultured bacterium. RNAcentral's name for it is "partial 16S ribosomal RNA". It matches the Rfam family "Bacterial small subunit ribosomal RNA", at positions 524 to 776 of the family's 1533-position model. The record is from RNAcentral.